This 1899-nucleotide long non-coding RNA is filed under the name Homo sapiens (human). RNAcentral's name for it is "non-protein coding lnc-CMBL-1:7". Lineage: Eukaryota; Metazoa; Chordata; Mammalia; Primates; Hominidae. The record is from RNAcentral.
ACUGUCGGUCGGCGGCUAAGGAGGGGAGGCACCUGCAUCUGGGGCGCGGCGAAUCCUCGCGUGCGCCAGGCCGCCUGGGGUAGUCGCCGAGACUGCGCCGGCCAGCGGGGCCGAAACCUAAUCAGGAGCUGAGCUUUGAUGGCGGCUUCUGGAGGGACAAAGAAGGCGCAGAGCGGUGGGAGGAGGCUGCGAGAACCUAGCUCCCGCCCCAGCCGACGUGCGAGACAAAGGCCCCGGCGCGGGGCUCUUCGGAAGGCCGGGAGGUUCCUGUGACAAUGCGAGUCUGCGCCCCACGCUCCCGCACCGUGAUGCCGAGGCCAAAUGGCUAGAGUGGGCCCAGGCAUCAGCAUUUCUGUUUGGCAGCCGGGCAGUUGUGGUGCACGUUUUGAGGAACUACUAAAGCCUGCCUGUGAUGAAAAAGGCAAAAGCUGACUUCACCAAAAUUACUCCCAGGGAGACUUCUGCAUUUGGCUGGAAGGACAUUUGAGUAAACCGCUGAGGCUGGUGGUUGAAACAUAAUCCUCUAAGGGAGAUCGGUUCCGAUACCCUGAGUUAGGGACGCUUGCCUGGGCAGAGCUAAGGGGAGAAUGAUCAAAAGCCAAGCUCUGUCCCCGUCAGCACGUCACCCUCCCUCACUGUAAUCCCUGACUGUUUUCUCUAAAUGAAGAAUUAUUUAGAGAAUAUAAAUUAGAAGGGCCGCCACGUCAGAAUUGCCUGAGUGGGAGCAGUCUUUCCAGCCUCGAAAAAUGUUUAAACAAUAUGCAGAUGACCUAGCACAAAUAAAGAAUGCUAGCAACCGCUGUUAUGUGUGAGCGGUGGAAUUGGGAGGGCUCUUCCCCCAAUCUUCAUCAAACAGAGUAAGGUUUAGAAUAAAAAUAAUGAAAUACAGUCUUUCAAAAAGAGCAGCGCUUGACUAAUGUUACUGAUGUCACUCAUGUUACUCAAGGGAGGAAAGAACUCAAACUCUACAUAAUAAUACCCACUGAUUUCAAGGGCUGGCACGGAGAAUUAAGCAGACCGCCAUUCUUUAUAUUUGUUUUUUUGUUGUUGUUUGCUUAUGAUUUUUUUCUUUCUUUUUUUUUUUUUUUUUUUGAGAAGGGGUCUCGCACUGUCACCCAGGCAGGAAUGCAGUGGCGCGAUAAUGGCUCACUGCAAUCUCACUAUAUUGACCAGUAUGAUUUUCAACUCCUGUCUUUAAGCGAUCCUCACGCUUCGGCCUCCCAAAGUGCUGGGGUUACAGACAUGUGCCACUAUGCCCUGCCUAAAUAUGUUUAUAUAUACUACCGCCAAAGAAACAAUUUGAAGACGAUCUUUCCCCAGCCCCUCUCCUUCUGAUCCAACUCCAAGAGCUCACCCUCCCUGUAAGACCUGUAGCAGAGCACGUAUUGGCCUGCUGAUACUAGGGGCAAAGACCGGGCCGAUCAGAUGUUACAUGGCAUAAGGGCGAAGGAUUCUGAAAGAAAGACUGAGACUUGCUGGAGGAAGUACUAGUAGUGCCAAGGGCAGGAACUCAACUGUUAGGCAGAAGGGAGGAAUGUACUGUUGAUAUGGACAGACUCCAAGAAGGGGAGGGACUGCUGGGACUACUAGAACGAGAAUGCCUCUGCCCCUAUGGCUCAGCUCUGCAACUCUCUCUGCACAUUGGCUUCAUGCUGUUAGACCAGCUUCCUCCAUAUGUCUGGAAACAAGGCCACUGACAGCUCCCAACAUUUCAUCUUCUGCCUCAUCAUCAGACAGGCGAGGUACACAGAAGAAAGGCCAUGUGAGGACACAGCGAGAAGCAAGUAUCUGCAAGUCAAGAAGAAAGGCCUCAACAGACACCAGCCCUGCCAGCACCUUGAUCUUGGACUUCUGGCCUCCAGAACUGUGAAAGAAUAAAAUUCUGUUGUUUAAGCCACC